GGCACUUUGGCGGAGUGGUUAACGCGAUGCCCUGCUAUGUAUAGUGAUGCCUCAUCGACGGUGAUCAUCACGAAGUAGUGAAGGCAUUCCCUUCGGGGGCGUGUGUUCGAAUCACACAGGUGUCG
This is a non-coding RNA of Hypoxylon sp. CI-4A, 125 nucleotides long. NCBI's taxonomy places the organism in Eukaryota, Fungi, Ascomycota, Sordariomycetes, Xylariales, Hypoxylaceae. The record is from the annotation of a GenBank genome assembly.